This 920-nucleotide ribosomal RNA is filed under the name uncultured Bacteroidota bacterium. RNAcentral's name for it is "bacterial SSU rRNA". It matches the Rfam family "Bacterial small subunit ribosomal RNA", at positions 1 to 917 of the family's 1533-position model. The record is from RNAcentral. Lineage: Bacteria; Pseudomonadati; Bacteroidota.
UGGAUCCAGACUUUGAUCAUGGCUCAGGAUGAACGCUAGCGGCAGGCUUAACACAUGCAAGUCGAGGGGCAGCGCGGGAUAGCAAUAUCCUGGCGGCGACCGGCGGAAGGGUGCGUAACGCGUGAGCGACAUGCCCGUUGCCCGGGGACAACCGGUGGAAACGCCGACUAAUCCCCGAUGUGAUACGAUGCUUCAUGGCAUUGUAUUGAAAGUUACGGCGGCGACGGAUUGGCUCGCGUCCGAUUAGCUGGUUGGCGGGGUAACGGCCCACCAAGGCUACGAUCGGUAGGGGUUCUGAGAGGAAGGCCCCCCACAAUGGGACUGAGACACGGCCCAUACUCCUACGGGAGGCAGCAGUGAGGAAUAUUGGUCAAUGGGCGGAAGCCUGAACCAGCCAUGCCGCGUGCGGGAAGGAGGCCCUAUGGGCUGUGAACCGCUUUUGCCUGGGGGCAAUAAGGGCGUCGCGCACGUCCGAUGAGAGUACCAGGCGAAUAAGCAUCGGCUAACUCCGUGCCAGCAGCCGCGGUAAUACGGGGGAUGCGAGCGUUAUCCGGAUUCAUUGGGUUUAAAGGGUGCGUAGGCUGUGCGUCAAGUCGGGGGUGAAAUUCCGGUGCUCAACACCGGGGCUGCCCUUGAUACUGUCGCGCUGGAGUGCGGAUGCCGCCGGAGGAAUGAGUGGUGUAGCGGUGAAAUGCUUAGAUAUCACUCAGAACACCGAUUGCGAAGGCAUCUGGCGAAUCCGUAACUGACGCUGAGGCACGAAAGCGUGGGGAUAGAACAGGAUUAGAUACCCUGGUAUUCCACGCCGUAAACGAUGAUGGCUAACCGCCGGCGACACACUGUCGGUGGCCGAGCGAAAGCGAUAAGCCAUCCACCUGGGGAGUACGUCGGCAACGAUGCAACUCAAAGGAAUUGACGGA